CCGUUCCGUCCUCCCUCCCGCAGCCGCCCCCAGCCUGCUCGCCAUCCUGUCCCCGGCGCUCGCCAAGCCCGCGCCAGACCGUGGCCAGCCCCGCGCCCGCUCCAGUCCGCCUGCGCGCCGCCCCCUCUCCGCCCACGGCCGGACGGGCAGCCCUGCGCGGACCCCAGCCAGGGACUCCUAGAUGUACUCGUGGGUGGCCAUGGAAGUCACUUCGCUAUCCGGGGCACCCUGGCUCUCCCGCUUCACAGGGUGGAGAUGCUGAAACUGAGGUCCACGCUAUCUUCAGCCCACCUGCACACAGGAAAAGCAUUGGUGGAGGCCAGGCCCCCAGAGGCAGGGAGCUGGUCAGGCCUGGAGAGACAGAUGCAAGGCUCUCAGGUGCCAUGUAGUCUGCAGCAUGGGGAGGGGGAAGCUGCACAGGGCUGCUGCAGAGGACAGACACAGACAUGAGGCCAAUGGGAGGAAGUUCUCAGAUGGAGAUGCCUGCACAAGCGUGAGCUUCUUGGUAGGAGGUGCAGGCCCAGUGUUUGAGAGGGGGUUGACACCCCCUCGGAGAGCAGUGGGUGGGCACUCACCUGUCUUGCUGCUGCCACCAUGGCAUUUCCCCACCUGAGUUUUCCUUGGAAGAAUCAAGCUCCCCUGACGGAUAGUCCGUGAGGUUGAAGGAGGAAUCCAGCGCAGGCCCAGGACCAGGUUUCCCUGGCCAACACUUUUGUUUUUGGCUGUGCUGGGGAUGGAACCCAGGGCUUUCUGCAUACUGGGCAACCCCUUUUUCUGGCUCAGCCUCACAGAUUUGAUUCAAGUCUGUGCAAGGGAGAAGCAGUCAUCUUGGAGCUUCAGGAAACAGAAGCUCUCUUUCCACUGGGUUUAGUAGGCUGUAGCCACACAGAAGUAAGAUGAUAUAAAUGUAGGACAAAGUCCAAACUCCUUAGGAAGGUUCUAGGCCUCUCUGGUCUGCCUGGCUCUAAAGAGGCUGUAGGGCAUCGUGGAGUCCAUUGACCUGGAAAACUCUAGAUUCCAUCUUAGUUUUUUUUCUAGAACAGCAGCAGAGUUGUAAUGAGAGUGACAAGUGACCGAAAGCAGGAAAGUACACUCCCCAAGGCAGCAGGGGAGUGGGCUCUGAGCGAGCUGGCUUAAUAGCAGCAUCUCUGGCCCAAGACCCCCUAGAUUUCAUCUCACUGAGGCCUCUCACCAAAUGAUGUUUCUUCUUCCAGGAAGUGCACAGUGGACCCCCUUUAGAGAGGAGGCGCUCAUAUAAGUUUAUUAAAAGUCAGGCGCAGUGCCAGCAGCCACUUCUCCAGUGCUGGCAGCUUCCCUGUCCCCUAGCCUUUCUAAUGGAGAAAGCAGGGCCUAGCACCACCCAGGGAACAUGACGUCCUUGGGAAGGCACUGCCACUUGGCAUUUGACUGCACAAGCUAGUGUGCUGCUUCCAUCCCCUUUCUCAUCCAUCCAUCCAGGCAGUGCGCUGGGGGCUAGCAAACAGAGGCUGGCUACAGACACCCUGCCAUUAGAGGGCACCUGGGCCAGAAAUAAGUGCAGGUGACCCAGGCCAAAUAGUGCCGUGUGACUCGAUUCCAAGCCUUUAAUUGGAAUUUACUGCUGGGUGACCCAAAUUAUAGGGUAGGAGUCUAAGUGGUUCUGGUAGCCUUCGCUCCUUUGUCUGAAGCAAGACUGCCAGAGAAGAGAGCCAACCUAGAGGACAAUAAGGCCAAAAAAGGAAGAGAACAAGUCGGAGUCUUGAGGACACUAUCUGGGACUCUGGAUCCAGCUGUACUUGAAGCAGUAUCUUUUUAGUUAUGUGAAAAACAAAUUUUGUUUCUCUUGAGUUUAAAUUAGGUUUCUUCUUUUAAAAAAACUUUUUUGUGGAAAUAAGGCUUCAUUUUAUUUACUUUUUAAAAUUGGAGCCAUUUACAUUUUUAAACUUUUAUUGUAGAAACUUUCAAAUGCAUACAAUCAAAAGUUAUGCAACACUCAACUUCGACAAUUCUCAACACAUGGAAAAUAUUGAUUUUUUUCCUCCUACAAUAUUUUAUUUGAAUCCAGGUGCCGGUGGCUCAUGCCUAUAAUCCUAGCUCCUCAGAAGGCAAAGAUCAGGAGGAUCUCAGUUUGAAGCCAGCCCAGGCAAAUAAUUCACGAGACUCUAUCUCAAAAAAACCCAUCACAAAAAAAGGGCUGGUGGAGUGGCUCGCGGUGUAGGCCCUGAGUUCAAACCCCAGUACUGCAAAAAACAAAUCCCAGACACCAUAGCAUUUCAAUUUAAAUACGCUAGUAUUUACUGCUAACACAUAAGGACUUUAAAAAUCUCUUAGAUUGUUGAAUAAAACUACACUAAAUUUAUAGAUGAAUCUGAGG
Molecule: long non-coding RNA, 2353 nt
Organism: Castor canadensis (American beaver)
Lineage: Eukaryota; Metazoa; Chordata; Mammalia; Rodentia; Castoridae
Source: Ensembl